GACGUAGGGCGCGAGCGUUGUCCGGAUUUAUUGGGCGUAAAGAGCUCGUAGGCGGUUUGUCGCGUCUGCUGUGAAAGACCGGGGCUCAACUCCGGUUCUGCAGUGGGUACGGGCAGACUAGAGUGCAGUAGGGGAGACUGGAAUUCCUGGUGUAGCGGUGAAAUGCGCAGAUAUCAGGAGGAACACCGAUGGCGAAGGCAGGUCUCUGGGCUGUAACUGACGCUGAGGAGCGAAAGCAUGGGGAGCGAACAGG
This 253-nucleotide ribosomal RNA is filed under the name uncultured bacterium. Its description in RNAcentral is "partial 16S ribosomal RNA". It matches the Rfam family "Bacterial small subunit ribosomal RNA", at positions 524 to 776 of the family's 1533-position model. The record is from RNAcentral.